Molecule: ribosomal RNA, 521 nt
Filed under: uncultured bacterium
Lineage: Bacteria
Description: bacterial SSU rRNA
Rfam family: Bacterial small subunit ribosomal RNA
Source: RNAcentral
GGCGACAAACAGUCAGUGUCCAAGCGAAAGUGAUAAGUGAUCCACCUGGGGACUACGGCCGCAAGGUUAAAACUCAAAGGAAUUGACGGGGGCCCGCACAAGCGGAGGAGCAUGUGGUUUAAUUCGAUGGUACGCGAGGAACCUUACCUGGGUUAGAACGUAUGAGCGAUGCAGCUGAAAGGUUGCAGGCCUGCGAAGGAGUUCAUACGAGGUGCUGCAUGGUUGUCGUCAGCUCGUGCCGUGAGGUGUUUGGUUAAGUCCAGCAACGAGCGCAACCCCUACCUUUAGUUGCCAUCAGGUAAAGCUGGGGACACUAGAGGGACUGCCUGCGCAAGCAGUGAGGAAGGUGGGGAUGACGUCAAAUCAGCACGGCCCUUAUGUCCAGGGCUACACACGUGCUACAAUGGUAACUACAGAGGGCAGCGACUAGGCGACUAGGAGCGAAUCUCGAAAAGUUAUCGUAGUUCGGAUUGGAGUCUGCAACUCGACUCCAUGAAGAUGGAUUCGCUAGUAAUCGCGCU